CCCUCCCCUUCCCCUUCGUCUCUUUCACAGAGAAGCCCCACAGUCCACCACCGGCUGCCAGCGCCCAACGACCACCAAGCUUACACCAGAGCAUCGCCUCCUCCCCCUCAAGACAAACCCACCCUUUGUUUCACUCAAAUCUUACCAGAAUCCCUCAAAUCCUCGAAACCCUAGCCUCCAUCCUCGUUUUCUCUGUUGGCGGCGCCAUCACCAGACGACCUUAAACACCCUUCAGCCCUUUCAUCCUCCACACCCCAAAACUACAGUCCAUCUUCUUCAAAUCCUUGUUAAAGUGCUCGAAUACUAAUUCUAAGGAUUGAGUUCUCGAAGCCAAAGCCCAAGUCGUGCAUACGACGCUUUUUCCAGAGUCCAUGGCACAUUGUCUGCAUGUUGUUCGAUGGAAAUAUAUGCUGGCAUCAUUUUGAGUAUAACUCAUAGACCCAGGGUCCGAGUUCCAGUCAGAUAGUGAGUUCUCUUUCUUUCAUUUAUUAUUUUUUGUUUCUUCUUCUAUUCUGCUUCACUUCAACCUAUUUAUACUUUUCUCUUUUUCGGUUUGAUAGCCAAUCACCUACCCUUCUCCUUCAUUUCUUUUUGUUUGAUUUUCCAAUAUAGAUGUGUUCGAAUUGAUGGUCGUUGUCCGUCUUUGUUUAAAAUCUGCUAUUCAAUUGAAUUAUAGUCAAAGAAUGAAUACUGUGUUAUUUUUUAUCAUGUUUCGUUAUUAGUUAUAAAUUUGGGAUUUUGACCUAAUUAGAUUACAAGAAUGUGCAAGUUCAGUGAAUUUUUUAUAUUCUUUUAGAUUUCUUUUGUUUCUGUUCCCUUGGGCCUGACAGUCCUAUUUAGAGCUUUAAGGUUCGACGACUGAAAAGUCUGAAAAUCAUUGAAUUAGGCUAUACUUUCAGGCCCCUAAAUGAAACAAUGUCUGAGUCAUAGGUUGACCCGACCCUUUCAAGGGAAGUAACAGGGUCACGGGGAUUAAUUCUUUAAACUAUGAAGGGUAGUUUAGGGAAUAAAAUAACAGGAAUAAUGUAAUUUAUAAAAGAUAAGGCUGGGAGAGGUCAAAAAAAUUCUCCCCAAAGUAUGCUCUCUAAAUUUUUUAUCUAAGAUCCGAAAUUCAAGCUCCACAGCCCCAAAAAUAGUAGAAAAUUUCAAAAAACAAAAAAAAAAUAACAAAGCAACAGAAAAUCACAAAAAUCACUAUUACAUUAGGUUGCGUGUCAGUUUUCGUAGUAAUCAAGAGGCUUCAAAGUUUCUGUGUUGAAUUUGAAGUGAAAAUUUCCUGUUUAAAUUGAAUUCUGGUAACAUCGAGUCUAUUUUCACAGGUUUUUCUCAUCUCUUGAAUUGCUGGUUUAUUUCUGGAUAUUUGAGAAGCCAAUUUGAUUUUAAAGUGAUUUGGUUGUUGCUGUGUUGAGGAGCUCAUUGCUGGUUUUCUGAAAAUACUCCUGAAUCUAUUGAUUGCUGCUGCCUGUUUUAUUAUAACUGACCAUCCUCUUUCUCCUUGUAAUUUCAAUAUCAAGUAAACAUUCGAAAUCAACUUCAUGUAACUCCUAACUUCUUCUUUAAAAAAAGGAUUCCAACAACAAAACUGCUUCCACAACUACGAAAAGCAAGUUUCUAUAUCUCGCAUCUACUUAAAUUGUGUGAAUAUGAGAAUCUCUUUCGUUGAAUUGAAAGAAUUUUCUAUUGAAUGGAAGAUGAUUUUACAUUGCUGCUGCCUGUUUUAUUAUAACUGACCAUCCUCUUUCUCCUUGUAAUUUCAAUAUCAAGUAAACAUUCGAAAUCAACUUCAUGUAACUCCUAACUUCUUCUUUAAAAAAAGGAUUCCAACAACAAAACUGCUUCCACAACUACGAAAAGCAAGUGUUGUUGCUGUUUGACUUUCUAUGAAGCAUCCACUGUCCCAUUGAUUAACUACAGUUACAAAUUAUUUCAGCCUAUUUGAAGCAGGAUGAACGGAUUUGUGUUAUUUUCGAAUUGUGUGAGAUCUAGGCUAUUUCCAUUUGUAUUAACUUUUGUAAUAAGUGGACUUUGUGCCUACUAAUUUCUAAUAUAUGCGAUAAACUGAAGUUCUAGUCUAGUUUCAGUAGUUGCAACAAGUUGAAUAGAGAUGUGUUAGCAAAUAAGGUUAGAUCUCAAAUGUUAAUGGUUACUCACAGCUUUAAAUAUUGAUUUGUUUUCCAGUAAUUGUAAAAGCAAGUUCAAGUAGUUCCGUGUUCUUUGUAACUCAAUUCUGUAGUCCAGUUAGUUUAAAAAUACUACAAUUGCUUGGGUAUUAGAUUAACAGUAGUAGUUAAAUACUGAACUGUAUUGAUUUGGUCCUUUAGCUGAUUCGUAUGUAAACAGAUAAAAUAACCGACUUCAAUUUAUGCUCGUAGUUCACUUUUGAUAAUUUUAUUGGUGUUUUGGUUUUAUUGAACUGUUUAAACACGUUUAAAGUAAAUUUGAAAUAAGUGCAGCCAAUUGGUUUCAUUUGUUCUUGGGCUUCAACUUUUAGCUUACCUGGCAUAAUUCAAUGUAAAAUUGAGUAGGUUAAUUUUUGGAGAUAAAUAAAAAUAGAAAAAUCAUAGUUGCUUUUAGGUUUGCCCAUAAAAUAAAAUGAGACGAGCCUCACCCAAUAAAUACAAAAAUUAUGGGGGCCUCAUUAAAGGUUUAAAAUAUUUAGAAAAUCGUGAAUGGCAGUUUAGUGAAUUUCACGCCCCUCUCAAAAAUAAUAAUGUGAUAGACUCUUUUGAUGCGAUGUUAAUAAAAUUACCUUCUUAAACUAGGGUGUGCAUUUCAUGCGACACAAAUCAAAUCCCAAAACGUUAAAUAAAGUGUGUUUAAGAUUGCGGGUGCAUUUCAUGUGACGCGAUCCGAAGGCACGCUUUAAACAACGUUCGCCUUUCUUUUUAAAAAAUACAUAUGGAAUAAAAGCGGUUAAAAGUAAAAAUUGGCACAUAAGUUUUUCAUGUAAUAAUAUCAGGUAAAUAAGCUAAAUGUGAUAGUUGAGUUACCGUGCUAGAACCACGGAACCCGGGAAUGCCUAAUACCUUUUAUCGGGAUAAUAGAAUUCCUUAUCCGAAUUUUUGGUUCGCGGACUGUUAACAGAGUCAUAUUUUUCUUUGGUUCGGAAUUCAACCGGCCACUUGGGACAUCAUUAAUCUCCCAAGUGGUGACUCUGAAUAAUUAAUAAUAAAUUUCGUUUCGAUUUUUCUUUAAUUGGAAAAAGUCCUUUACUCCCUUGCGAGUGUAGUGUAAAAGGAGGUGUGAGAUCCUCCUUCUGAGGUACCAUUCCUGAGGUUCUAGCCAUAAAUGUAAGAAGGGUUUCCAAAGAAAGAAAAUGAACAGGUAGGCACAAAAAGGAGAUGAAUGUAGAAGAUGGUGAAUUUAGCUUUGAAAACUUGAAGAUAUUGUAAAAGUAUGAAAUGAUAAGUGGUUGAGGUAUUUAUAGAAUUUAUUUGAGCAACCUUUAAGAAACGGAAAAGUCGAACCAAAAAUGGUUCGCGGGCUUUUUGAUAGUUGUGUUAAUAGCGACCCCUACGCAAUCUUUAAGUCAUGCCAUUUAAUGCGCUGAUGGGCUGACGUCAUGAUAGUAGUAUCGGAGAGGCAAGAAUUCAAAACUAUUUCUUAUUAUUUUUAUUCUAAGAAACGCAGGGACUAUCUAUAUACGGUUAAAAUUGGAGAGCCCGAUUUUAUAGUCAUUAUGGCACUUCGUAAGCCUGUCCCUUGAAGUCUCGAGGCUCAGCUCAAGGUUCGACCCCGAGGGUUAUCAAGGUUGGACCCCGAGAGUUCUCAAUGUUCGACCUCAAGGCAGUGAAAAUUGACGGUUAUGAUGGACAAACGGGAAGUUCCCAAGGCACGUUGUUAAAGCUGACCUUGCCUAUUAAGCUAGUACAAGCUUGUAUCGUGGUACUAAAUGGCUGUACCAGUUGCGUAUCUUUGUAAUAAAUAUAUCUGUACUAAGUUG
Molecule: long non-coding RNA, 3943 nt
Filed under: Nicotiana benthamiana
Lineage: Eukaryota; Viridiplantae; Streptophyta; Magnoliopsida; Solanales; Solanaceae
Description: long non-coding RNA (NBEN_LNC036443)
Source: RNAcentral